RNAcentral lists this long non-coding RNA (584 nucleotides) under Homo sapiens (human). RNAcentral's name for it is "non-protein coding lnc-CNOT7-4:1". The record is from RNAcentral. Lineage: Eukaryota; Metazoa; Chordata; Mammalia; Primates; Hominidae.
AUUCUUUGUGACUCUUUGCGGAUCGUGUGUUUUCUAGGCAGUGUCAGAGGAAGGGGCAAGUGUGCUUGUUCACUGUUCUGAUGGCUGGGACAGGACCGCUCAGGUGUGCUCGGUGGCAAGCCUGCUGCUGGACCCUCACUACCGGACUCUGAAGGGCUUCAUGAUAUGGCAAUCUAGAUGGUGACCCAAAAGAAAUCUCUCCAGUUAUUGACCAGUUCAUUGAGUGUGUUUGGCAGUUAAUGGAACAAUUUCCCUGUGCCUUUGAGUUCAAUGAGAGGUUUUUGAUUCACAUUCAACAUCACAUUUAUUCCUGCCAGUUUGGAAACUUCCUAUGUAACAGCCAAAAGGAGAGACGAGAACUCAAGAUUCAAGAAAGAACAUACUCAUUAUGGGCUCACCUGUGGAAGAAUCGGGCCGACUACCUGAAUCCUCUGUUUAGAGCUGAUCACAGCCAGACUCAGGGAACCCUUCAUCUCCCUACAACACCAUGUAACUUCAUGUACAAGUUUUGGAGUGGAAUGUAUAACCGCUUUGAAAAGGGGAUGCAGCCCCGACAGUCAGUUACAGAUUACCUAAUGGCAGUG